This 531-nucleotide ribosomal RNA is filed under the name Streptococcus sp. oral clone BP1-17. RNAcentral describes it as "bacterial SSU rRNA". It matches the Rfam family "Bacterial small subunit ribosomal RNA", at positions 8 to 521 of the family's 1533-position model. The record is from RNAcentral. RNAcentral also lists the same sequence under 7 other names. Lineage: Bacteria; Bacillati; Bacillota; Bacilli; Lactobacillales; Streptococcaceae.
AGAGUUUGAUCCUGGCUCAGGACGAACGCUGGCGGCGUGCCUAAUACAUGCAAGUAGAACGCUGAAGAGAGGAGCUUGCUCUUCUUGGAUGAGUUGCGAACGGGUGAGUAACGCGUAGGUAACCUGCCUUGUAGCGGGGGAUAACUAUUGGAAACGAUAGCUAAUACCGCAUAACAAUGGAUGACACAUGUCAUUUAUUUGAAAGGGGCAAUUGCUCCACUACAAGAUGGACCUGCGUUGUAUUAGCUAGUAGGUGAGGUAACGGCUCACCUAGGCGACGAUACAUAGCCGACCUGAGAGGGUGAUCGGCCACACUGGGACUGAGACACGGCCCAGACUCCUACGGGAGGCAGCAGUAGGGAAUCUUCGGCAAUGGGGGCAACCCUGACCGAGCAACGCCGCGUGAGUGAAGAAGGUUUUCGGAUCGUAAAGCUCUGUUGUAAGUCAAGAACGAGUGUGAGAGUGGAAAGUUCACACUGUGACGGUAGCUUACCAGAAAGGGACGGCUAACUACGUGCCAGCAGCCGCGGU